Molecule: long non-coding RNA, 2359 nt
Organism: Macadamia integrifolia
Lineage: Eukaryota; Viridiplantae; Streptophyta; Magnoliopsida; Proteales; Proteaceae
Exons: 2
Source: RefSeq, a predicted model, not a curated record
GUCAUACAACUUGAAUACCAUUGUUUGGAUCUGCAUCUUGAUAUUGAUAUAUGCAUUCUUUCAUGUUGUCCAACUGUUCAAUAAUAUAUUCCAACUUCUUGCAACAGAUCUCAUUAGAGAAGGAAAAAUGAGAGGAGAGACUUGCUCUGAGGAAGAGGCUAACGCCCUUGGAGAUGGGCAAGAACUGGGUGGUGGUCCUUCCCUCUCUUGAGGGCGGCAACAGAUGAUUACUGAGUUCUUAUGAACAGUUUUGGAACCUGAUAAUAGGGAGAAGAUUGUGGAUGACGGUGGCGGUGGAGAUCCUCAUCCUCCUAAACGUUCUUUCUCGACUGUUGUGGGAAGAGGACUUCCUGAGGUGGAUGAUCUACCUGAUCCAAUUCAUGUUGGGUCCUUGACCAAGAUCAUUGUUCCCCAAGAGGCAUAUAAGGAGCGAUUAGAAGGCUUUCGAUUUGCUCUUAUUGGGAGAACUAAUUUCAGGUUUGUCUCCAUAGAUGCCAUUCAUAAGGAGGCGAGAGAGUCCUGGAAUCUAAAGGGUAGGGUGGUUUUGGCGCCUAUGGGGAAAGGUUUUAUCCUCUUUCAAUUUGAAACUGAGGCAGACAUGUCCUUGAUAUAGAGAAGGAAUUUCAUAAAAGUUGAAGGGCAAGUUAUUUGCUUUCUACGUUGGAGACAGGACUUCAGCAUCCAUGACAAGCAUGACUGCCGGUGGCCAUUGAUCGACGCACUCGCAAUGCAGGUGAAAGCUGCAGGACGAUGGUUUGGAUUCGUUUUCCAAACCUGCUCGUGUGCAGGUUGAGAUGGAAUAGGAGGAAAACAUUUAGAGGAAAUUACGGUCAAACGGAGACAAUCGGGCUCUUGUGAUUUGUUUUGGUUCAAGCAGUCCAUAGUCUAUGAAGAUUCUCUGGGAACCUGUGAGUACUGUAAACAAUCCUCAAGUUCCAUGGUUGCAUCCCUGGAAAAACAGACAUAAUAUUUCUGCCUGUAAAUUUUGCAAAUCCGCUGAGUAAGGAACCAUCCUCAAGUUCCUGGAGCUGUAUAUGCGGAUGAGACAAGGGAAGAGGCUUGCGAUGUUGGUGCUGCUCGUAUUAUUGAUUAAGCUAAUGCAGUUUUCAGGCCUUCUUUGGGCGUUUUCAUGCCAGGCGGUGGUCAGGAGAGCGGUGGCCAUGGUGGAAAUCCAAGUGAGGCAAGGAGAGAUUCUGGUACGCUAUUCUUGAAAGGCAAUUUGGAUGUUACUAGCCAGCCAAUCAGAGAGAGUCCUUCUAUAGAGUGAGGGAUUUCAAAUCUGUUUUUACCAAGUCAAGGCUCGGGUCAAAUUCAUGUGGUGAUUCCUUUAAAUAAGGAAACUAAUGUGCGCCCCACCCAGGAAGACUUUUAUAAAGCUCAAAACAUUGGACAUGGACCCGGGUCAUCUAAAACCCGGUCACGUAUCCUAAAUUCAGGCUGUGGGGAGGAAAUUGAUUCGGGCUCUGAUUCAUCAAGGCAUUCUUCCUUAGCAGAGAGCGACUGUGGAGAUGAGAAUGGCGCUGAACUUGUUAUUUCUUCCAUCUCUCCAAGCUCGCUUCAUGAAGGUGCGAUAGUGAUUCAUCAUGAGGAAAUUGCAGCUGCGGACGCUCUGAUUAAUGCAACUGAAAAAACCCAUACUGAGGAUGGUAGGCACAGGAAGGAGAAGACUUUGGCCAAUACGGAGCAGACGAGAAGGUCUAACCGUAUAGCCACAUGAAAGAAUUAAGGUAUGAAGUUCUUUUUUUGGAAUGUGAGAGGUUUUAAAAAAACCUCAGCUCAUAUGGCCCUAAAAAUUUUUGUAAGGGAUAAAAAUCCUGAUUUUCUAAGUCUAGCCGAGCCCAUGAUUGAUUCAUCGGUUUUCCCAGUUAGAUCAUGUGGUAAGAUGGGUUUUGAAACAAAUUUUAUAUGCAGUUUAAGGGUUGGGAAAGAUUCAAACCAAUGGCUGGUUUGGAGAAAAUGUAUUCCAAUGCCUACUGUUGUUUCAGCCUCGGAACAACAAAUAUCUGUGAGUGUAAAUUGGAGAAAUAAGAUAGUUAGGAUCUCUAUGAUUCACGCUAGUUGUUUCAGAGCAAAUCGUAGGGAGUUGUGGGCUGAUUUAGCUGCUGUGUAUUCUCCAACUGAUCCCUGGAUGAUGGUGGAUGAUUUUAAUGCUUUGUUGGCCUCGCAUGAGAAGCGAGGAUCUGAUGCAUUUAAUUUGGGGUCUAUGGCAGAGAUUGCUGCCAUAGUUGAUGUUUGUCAUCUGAUUCAGUUGCCUUCCCAGGGUGUCAAAUUUACUUGGACAAACAAUAGAAAGAGAGGGAAUGUGUCGGCUGUUCUGGACAGGGGGUUUUGUAAUGACACCUGGCUGUCUUAUUUUCAA